This 162-nucleotide ribosomal RNA is filed under the name Kwoniella shivajii. RNAcentral describes it as "5.8S ribosomal RNA". It matches the Rfam family "5.8S ribosomal RNA". Rfam says of the family: 5.8S ribosomal RNA (5.8S rRNA) is a component of the large subunit of the eukaryotic ribosome. It is transcribed by RNA polymerase I as part of the 45S precursor that also contains 18S and 28S rRNA. Functionally, it is thought that 5.8S rRNA may be involved in ribosome translocation. The record is from RNAcentral. Lineage: Eukaryota; Fungi; Basidiomycota; Tremellomycetes; Tremellales; Cryptococcaceae.
AAACAAAACUUUCAACAACGGAUCUCUUGGCUCCCACAUCGAUGAAGAACGCAGCGAAAUGCGAUAAGUAAUGUGAAUUGCAGAAUCAGUGAAUCAUCGAGUCUUUGAACGCACCUUGCGCCCUUUGGUAUUCCGAAGGGCAUGCCUGUUUGAGUGUCAUGA